RNAcentral lists this small nuclear RNA (328 nucleotides) under Castor canadensis (American beaver). RNAcentral describes it as "7SK RNA (ENSCCNG00000025118.1)". It matches the Rfam family "7SK RNA", at positions 1 to 295 of the family's 331-position model. Rfam says of the family: 7SK was discovered as an abundant small nuclear RNA in the mid-70s but a possible function has only recently been suggested. Two independent studies have found that 7SK RNA binds the CDK9/cyclin T complex (known as elongation factor P-TEFb). P-TEFb activates transcription by phosphorylating the C-terminal domain of RNA polymerase II. The record is from RNAcentral. Lineage: Eukaryota; Metazoa; Chordata; Mammalia; Rodentia; Castoridae.
GGAUGUCAGGGCGAUCUGGCUGCAACAUCUGUCACCCCAUUGAUUGCCAGGGCUGAUACAGCUGAUCUGGCUGGCUAGGCGGGUAUCCCCUUCCUCCCUCACUGCUCCAUGUGCGUCCCCCUGAAGCUGCAUGCAUGGUGGAAGAGGACGACCAUCCCUGAUAGAAAAGGAUCAUUCUUCGAUCAAGGGUAUACGAGUAGCUGAGCUCCCCUGCUAGAACCUCCAAACAAGCUCUCAAGAAGCCAACUGCUAUUUCCCAAUUUAAAUUGCUAGAGCAAUUUUAAAUAUCCAGAAUGGUGAAAGAAGCUGUAACAGUUUAAACUAAUAU